GAACGAACGCUGGCGGCAUGCUUAACACAUGCAAGUCGAACGCUUCUGUUGGCUUCGGCCUUCAGAAGAGUGGCGCACGGGUGAGUAGCGCGUGGGAACCUGCCCUGUUGUGGGGGAUAACCGAGGGAAACUUCGGCUAAUACCGCAUACGCCGGCUGUCUUGAAAGAGAUGGCCGGGAAAGAUUUAUCGCCGAGGGAUCGGCCCGCGUCUGAUUAGCUUGUUGGUGAGGUAACGGCUCACCAAGGCGACGAUCAGUAGCUGGUCUGAGAGGAUGAUCAGCCACAUUGGGACUGAGACACGGCCCAAACUCCUACGGGAGGCAGCAGUGGGAAUAUUGGACAAUGGGCGCAAGCCUGAUCCAGCCAUGCCGCGUG
RNAcentral lists this ribosomal RNA (375 nucleotides) under uncultured bacterium. RNAcentral's name for it is "bacterial SSU rRNA". It matches the Rfam family "Bacterial small subunit ribosomal RNA", at positions 27 to 403 of the family's 1533-position model. The record is from RNAcentral.